UAUCUUCUUUUUUUCGGAGCAGGUUGAGAAGUAGAAGAUAACUGCCGAAGCCACCGUUUUCUUAUCCCUUCCCGCCCGCUUCUUCUUCUUCAUCAUCUUCAACCUCGCCUCCAAAAACCCUUCUACAGAGAAGAGAUGCAGACCUCAAUCUUCUCCCCAUCGUCAUCUUCUUCACUUGCCAUUUUGAAGCUCAACCAAAACCCUCUUCUGGGCCAUAUCGUUUCUACGCCGCGUUUGCCCCUUAAAAGAAGGCCCACUUCGACCACUCGCGCACUUCUCUCAGCCCACCGACAAUCAGUUCUCAAGGAUUUUCAGGAGAGACGAGCUCUGAAGAUUAUUUCAGGUCUGCAGAACCUUGACAGGGAAAAUGUGGCUUCAGUAGUCACUGCAGCAGACCAGGGGGGAGCGACUCAUGUCGAUAUAGCUUGUGAUGCAGAGUUAGUGAAGCUUGCCAUUAGUUUAACUUCUCUUCCAGUUUGUGUUUCUUCUGUGGAUCCAGCAGAAUUCUUACCUGCCGUUGAAGCUGGAGCAUUAAUGGUGGAAAUUGGAAACUAUGAUUCAUUCUAUGAGGCAGGAAUAGUUUUCUCUGCAGAUCAGAUAUUGAAUCUAACAAAAGAGACUAGGAGGUUACUGCCGUCUGUGGUCUUAUCAGUCACUGUGCCCCACACACUUGGACUUCCUGAUCAGGUCAAGCUGGCAGAGUUUCUGGAACAAGAAGGUGCUGAUAUUAUACAAACUGAAGGAGGAAAAUGCUCUCAUCCUUCAAAAUCUGGCGUGCUUGGCUUGAUCGAGAAGGCAGCACCCACACUAGCAGCAGCAUAUUCGAUCUCGAGGGCUGUUAAGAUUCCUGUCAUGUGUUCGUCCGGGUUAAGUGCUGUCACGGCGCCAAUGGCUAUCACGGCUGGAGCUGCAGGCGUGGGUGUAGGAUCGGCAGUUAACAAGCUCAAUGAUGUUGUAGCGAUGAUUGCAGAGGUCAGGAGCAUUGCUGAUUCCUUAGCACCGUCAGCUGCCCGGCUAAACAGACCCGAUGGCGCAUUUUUGAAUUUGUAGAUUUAUGGUUCUCUGGUGCAUGUGGGAAACGUUUGCCUUCCAAAUUAAGAUCCUUUUAUAUGGCUUUCCUCCUAUGGUAUUAGAUACGAUAGUUGCAUACGAUGUUUUAGGUUUUAAAGUCGACGACAAUAUUUCAAGCCGGAAGUUUUUUCGUGUAUCAGAGCAAGAUAAGAACUCAAACCUUCAAAA
RNA transcript from Cucurbita maxima (winter squash), 1239 nucleotides. RefSeq lists it as uncharacterized. The transcript has 10 exons. The record is from RefSeq and is a predicted model, not a curated record. Lineage: Eukaryota; Viridiplantae; Streptophyta; Magnoliopsida; Cucurbitales; Cucurbitaceae.